Molecule: unclassified non-coding RNA, 257 nt
Filed under: Hevea brasiliensis (rubber tree)
Lineage: Eukaryota; Viridiplantae; Streptophyta; Magnoliopsida; Malpighiales; Euphorbiaceae
Source: RNAcentral
UUUUGUUUGACCUCUUUAUGGAUGACUAAUCUCUUUAGUUAGGUUGUAAACUCCAGGUUUUGCUGACUUUUGGAUGCGGGAGUCGGUGCAACACUUGAUUCUGAAGGCUUGUGUAUUUGCUAUUUGGCAAUUCCAAAUACAUGACAUGUAGUUUAAGGAUCAGGAAAUCGUUAGAUCUGUUGUUGGAAAUGAUCAUUUUAACAGCAAGCACUCAAUAUUUUGCACAGUACUAAAUAUAUACAUAUUUCUGUGGGAGG